GCGGACGGGUGAGUAAUGCCUAGGAAUCUGCCUGAUAGUGGGGGACAACGUUUCGAAAGGAGCGCUAAUACCGCAUACGUCCUACGGGAGAAAGCAGGGGACCUUCGGGCCUUGCGCUAUCAGAUGAGCCUAGGUCGGAUUAGCUAGUUGGUGAGGUAAUGGCUCACCAAGGCGACGAUCCGUAACUGGUCUGAGAGGAUGAUCAGUCACACUGGAACUGAGACACGGUCCAGACCCCUACGGGAGGCAGCAGUGGGGAAUAUUGGACAAUGGGCGAAAGCCUGAUCCAGCCAUGCCGCGUGUGUGAAGAAGGUCUUCGGAUUGUAAAGCACUUUAAGUUGGGAGGAAGGGUUGUAGAUUAAUACUCUGCAAUUUUGACGUUACCGACAGAAUAAGCACCGGCUAACUCUGUGCCAGCAGCCGCGGUAAUACAGAGGGUGCAAGCGUUAAUCGGAAUUACUGGGCGUAAAGCGCGCGUAGGUGGUUUGUUAAGUUGGAUGUGAAAUCCCCGGGCUCAACCUGGGAACUGCAUCCAAAACUGGCAAGCUAGAGUAUGGUAGAGGGUGGUGGAAUUUCCUGUGUAGCGGUGAAAUGCGUAGAUAUAGGAAGGAACACCAGUGGCGAAGGCGACCACCUGGACUGAUACUGACACUGAGGUGCGAAAGCGUGGGGAGCAAACAGGAUUAGAUACCCUGGUAGUCCACGCCGUANACGAUGUCAACUAGCCGUUGGGAGCCUUGAGCUCUUAGUGGCGCAGCUAACGCAUUAAGUUGACCGCCUGGGGAGUACGGCCGCAAGGUUAAAACUCAAAUGAAUUGACGGGGGCCCGCAC
This 832-nucleotide ribosomal RNA is filed under the name uncultured bacterium. RNAcentral's name for it is "bacterial SSU rRNA". It matches the Rfam family "Bacterial small subunit ribosomal RNA", at positions 98 to 926 of the family's 1533-position model. The record is from RNAcentral.